Molecule: long non-coding RNA, 359 nt
Organism: Papilio xuthus (Asian swallowtail)
Lineage: Eukaryota; Metazoa; Arthropoda; Insecta; Lepidoptera; Papilionidae
Exons: 2
Source: RefSeq, a predicted model, not a curated record
AAUAAUUAGAUAUGCACAUAAUGGAUAAAUUACAAAUUAAAUAAUAAUAAAAAUACAAAUAAGAUAAUUAACAUAAUGACAACAGAAGAUAUUGAUGACAUAGAACUGAUUUUGGAUGAUCGAGAAUUAUCUGAAUUUGUAGAAAUAAAAAAAAGUAAAAAAUACAUAAUUGGUGACGUGGAUCAAUCUGCGCUGGAGGACGAUUGGGAAGACGAUGUUCCCGACAUGUCGGAAAACUUCGGGAAAUCAAAAUGCGAUAGAUCCAUUUAGCCCUUAUUUUUAUACAUUCUAAUUUAAUUAACACAAUAAAAUUCCGUUGAUUUGGCAGAAUACAUGAGCAAUGAACAAUCUUUAUACUA